ACAAACGCUGGCGGCGUGCCUAAUACAUGCAAGUCAAACGGGGAAAGUCGCAAGAUGAGUACUAGUGGCGCACGGGUGAGUAACGCGUGGGUAAUCUACCUCGAAGUGGGGGAUAACCAGUCGAAAGAUUGGCUAAUACCGCAUAAGACCACAGGAGCUGAGGCUCUAGGGGUCAAAGGUUUUUCGCUUUGAGAUGAGCCCGCGGGGGAUUAGCUAGUUGGUAGGGUAACGGCCUACCAAGGCAACGAUCCCUAGCUGGUCUGAGAGGAUGAUCAGCCACACUGGAACUGAGACACGGUCCAGACUCCUACGGGAGGCAGCAGUAGGGAAUAUUGCGCAAUGGAGGAAACUCUGACGCAGCGACGUCGCGUGAGUGAUGAAGGACUUCGGUUCGUAAAGCUCUGUUGCAAGGGAAAAAGAAAGUGAUUGUACCUUGCGAGAAAGGAUCGGCUAACUUCGU
RNAcentral lists this ribosomal RNA (460 nucleotides) under uncultured bacterium. Its description in RNAcentral is "bacterial SSU rRNA". It matches the Rfam family "Bacterial small subunit ribosomal RNA", at positions 29 to 506 of the family's 1533-position model. The record is from RNAcentral.